This 544-nucleotide ribosomal RNA is filed under the name uncultured Ascomycota. Its description in RNAcentral is "SSU rRNA". It matches the Rfam family "Eukaryotic small subunit ribosomal RNA", at positions 548 to 1098 of the family's 1831-position model. Lineage: Eukaryota; Fungi; Ascomycota. The record is from RNAcentral.
UUGGAGGGCAAGUCUGGUGCCAGCAGCCGCGGUAAUUCCAGCUCCAAUAGCGUAUAUUAAAGUUGUUGCAGUUAAAAAGCUCGUAGUUGAACCUUGGGCCUGGCUGGCCGGUCCGCCUCACCGCGUGUACUGGUCCGGCCGGGCCUUUCCUUCUGGGGAACCUCAUGCCCUUCACUGGGCGUGUUGGGGAACCAGGACUUUUACUUUGAAAAAAUUAGAGUGCUCCAGGCAGGCCUAUGCUCGAAUACAUUAGCAUGGAAUAAUAGAAUAGGACGUGUGGUUCUAUUUUGUUGGUUUCUAGGACCGCCGUAAUGAUUAAUAGGGACAGUCGGGGGCAUCAGUAUUCAAUUGUCAGAGGUGAAAUUCUUGGAUUUAUUGAAGACUAACUACUGCGAAAGCAUUUGCCAAGGAUGUUUUCAUUAACCAGGAACGAAGGUUAGGGGAUCGAAGACGAUCAGAUACCGUCGUAGUCUUAACCAUAAACUAUGCCGACUAGGGAUCGGACGGUGUUAUUUUUUGACCCGUUCGGCGCCUUACGGGAAAC